RNAcentral lists this long non-coding RNA (380 nucleotides) under Manihot esculenta (cassava). RNAcentral's name for it is "long non-coding RNA (MESC_LNC008476)". The record is from RNAcentral. Lineage: Eukaryota; Viridiplantae; Streptophyta; Magnoliopsida; Malpighiales; Euphorbiaceae.
AAAAAAAAAAAAAAAAUCAUCUCUGCAACACACACUAAUCAGAACACCACAAACAAGAAAAAAUCCAAAAAAAAAAAAUUUGAAUAAGGCGGAAAAGAAAAUUGAAAUAGCGGUUAUUCAAAAUUGGAUUGAGAAGGAGGAAAGGAAGAGAUUUCACUAACCUUGACUGGAUUCUUUGAAAAAUUGUGGUUAUGGUUUUUGUUUGUGUAAGGUUUUAAUUGAGGAUUUGAUUAUGGAUUGGUAUUGCUAUUAAUUACAGAAAAGCAGAAAUAUAAAAAAUAUAAAAUUAUAUAAAAUAAAAUAAAAUAAAUAAAGAAAAGAAUAUGGUAUGGCUUCCGUGCCAAGUUGCCACCUUCCUAACAAUAGCUUGUUGAGGUUGG